CCUACGGGGGGCAGCAGUGAGGAAUAUUGGUCAAUGGUCGGGAGACUGAACCAGCCAAGCCGCGUGAGGGAGGAAGGUACAGCGUAUUGUAAACCUCUUUUAUCAGGGAACAAAGUCGGGCACGUGUCCCCUGAUGAGUGUACCUGAAGAAAAAGCAUCGGCUAACUCCGUGCCAGCAGCCGCGGUAAUACGGAGGAUGCGAGCGUUAUCCGGAUUUAUUGGGUUUAAAGGGUGCGUAGGCGGGGUGUUAAGUCAGCGGUGAAAGGCCGGGGCUCAACCCCGGCCCCGCCGUUGAAACUGGCAGUCUCGAGUUGAGGAGAGGUAUGCGGAAUGCGCGGUGUAGCGGUGAAAUGCAUAGAUAUCGCGCAGAACUCCGAUUGCGAAGGCAGCAUGCCGGCUCCACACUGACGCUGAGGCACGAAAGCGUGGGUAUCGAACAGGAUUAGAUACCCGAGUAGUC
This 460-nucleotide ribosomal RNA is filed under the name uncultured bacterium. RNAcentral's name for it is "partial 16S ribosomal RNA". It matches the Rfam family "Bacterial small subunit ribosomal RNA", at positions 338 to 795 of the family's 1533-position model. The record is from RNAcentral.